AAGUCGUAACAAGGUUUCCGUAGGUGAACCUGCGGAAGGAUCAUUAUUGAAUAAACCUGAUGUGAUUGUUAGCUGGCUUUUAGAAGCAUGUGCUCGUCCGUCAUCUUUAUCUCUCCACCUGUGCACAUUUUGUAGUCCUUGGAUAUCUCUCGAGGAAACUCGGAUUUUAGAAUCGCUGUGCUGUACAAGUCGGCUUUUCUUUCAUUUCCAAGACUAUGUUUUUAUAUACACCAAAGUAUGUUUAUAGAAUGUCAUCAAUGGGAACUUGUUUCCUAUAAAAUUAUACAACUUUCAGCAACG
This 300-nucleotide unclassified non-coding RNA is filed under the name Cortinariaceae sp. Its description in RNAcentral is "partial contains small subunit ribosomal RNA and internal transcribed spacer 1". The stretch from base 1 to 46 matches the Rfam family "Eukaryotic small subunit ribosomal RNA", at positions 1786 to 1831 of the family's 1831-position model. The record is from RNAcentral. Lineage: Eukaryota; Fungi; Basidiomycota; Agaricomycetes; Agaricales; Cortinariaceae.